Sapajus apella (tufted capuchin) is the source of this 1523-nucleotide long non-coding RNA. RefSeq lists it as uncharacterized. The record is from RefSeq and is a predicted model, not a curated record. The transcript is spliced from 3 exons. Lineage: Eukaryota; Metazoa; Chordata; Mammalia; Primates; Cebidae.
GUGAUCCUCCCACCUUGGUCUCGCAAAGUGCUGGGAUUAUAGGUAUGAGCCACCAAGCCCAGCCUUUAACUGUUAUUUUUAAUAUCAGAGAUUCUUGAAGGUCUAAAAUUGUUGUUUAUAGUUAUUACUUAUCCUUUCCUAGUGGUUUGUUUCCUUGUAUUUUUUUUUUUAUUGUGAGCUCAAGUUACUUUGAAUGUAUUCUUUUGGAAUCCUGAGGGCCUAAGAUGGAUAUGAUCUCCUCCAGUGCUGAUCUAGUCUUGCUUCUGCAGGAAUCAGGCAUAUUAAUGAUCUGUGACCGUUACUUUUGUUGCCUUUACUAAAGAGUGGGUCCCAGGUUUAGUUAAGGAUUCUCAAAUUCGGCCUCCCCAUCCUGCUGGAGGGCCUGGGGUUUAUUCUCCUGACACUCCGUUUGUGUUCAGGACAACUGUACCUUUCCCAUUUGCUCACUUUCCUGUUUUUCUUGCUCAGGAUUUCGCUUAUUGACCUUUUUUUUUUCUGUCUUUUUUUGAGAGAGAAGGGUAGGAUAUGGGUAGGGAACAUUCUUAGUGAUUUCUUCAAGUAAGCCCAAGCAAUGCAUUAAAAAGCAUGUCCAGGUUCAAGUUGUAUUUUAACAAGAGAACCCUUAAGAAUAUCUACUCUUAUGGUACUGCUGGAAGCAGAAGUGGAUGCCACACUUUGUACCUCUAGGAAUUGGUGCUGUCACGGUUAGGACUAUACUUUAACCCAAGGAUAUUGCUACAAAUAAAGUAUUUUUUUUAUGCUUGAGAGAGACUAAAAUGUUAGGAAAAUCAGGUCUGCUGUGACUCUUGAGCACUGGGUUGGAUGAGGGUGGGUCUGUUCUACAAUUGAUUCAGUGGAAACUAACCUGAAAUUGGGGUGGGGUGGGGGAUGAACUUUUACAGGUGAUGUUAUAGGUCUGGAGCGGGGCGGGGGAAAGACCGAGGUGAUGGUGAUGGAAGGUGUGACUACUGUUGCCUACACACUGGAUGAAGGCCUCAUCGAGUUUGGAACAGCCAUUGAUGAUGGCAAUUACACCCGGGCAACAGCCUUCUUAGAGACUCUGGAAAUGACCCCAGAAACAGAGGCAAUGUGGAAAGCCUUGAGUCACUGGCGCUAGAGGCAAGGCAACUACACAUUGCGGAGAGGUGCUUUUCUGCUUUGGGCCAAGUAGCAAAAGCUCGAUUCCUGCAUGAGACCAAUGAGAUUGCAGAUCGAGUAUCCCAGGAAUAUGCAAGUAUUAUGCUCCUGAUUCAUUCCAUCUCCCAAACUGAUUUCUCGUAGUAUUCAGCCCCAUGAUUCCUAGCUUUCCAGCCAUCCCUAGUUUCCUUUACCCUGCCCACCCCACCUCUACCCACCAGACAGACCAUUUCAGAAUCGCUAAACCUCAAACCUUUAAGCUCCAUGAAGAGUUUUACCUUCCCAAAUAUUUUCUUUCUUUUUUUUUUUUUGUUUUUAACUUCCUGUUGAUUCGUAAGGUCUUUUAUUUUCUACAUCCAUCUGGCCUUCUAAUCUCAGCCCUCACA